UACAGAGGUCUCAAGCGUUGUUCGGAUUCAUUGGGCGUAAAGGGUGCGUAGGCGGCGCGGUAAGUCGGGUGUGAAAUCUCGGAGCUUAACUCCGAAACUGCAUUCGAUACUGCCGUGCUUGAGGACUGGAGAGGAGACUGGAAUUUACGGUGUAGCGGUGAAAUGCGUAGAUAUCGUUUGGAACGCCAAUGGUGAAAACAGGUUGCUGGGGGUGUGCUGACGCUGAGACACGAAAGCCAGGGGAGCAAACAGG
RNAcentral lists this ribosomal RNA (253 nucleotides) under uncultured bacterium. RNAcentral's name for it is "partial 16S ribosomal RNA". It matches the Rfam family "Bacterial small subunit ribosomal RNA", at positions 524 to 776 of the family's 1533-position model. The record is from RNAcentral.